Long non-coding RNA from Rhincodon typus (whale shark), 395 nucleotides. RefSeq lists it as uncharacterized. NCBI's taxonomy places the organism in Eukaryota, Metazoa, Chordata, Chondrichthyes, Orectolobiformes, Rhincodontidae. The record is from RefSeq and is a predicted model, not a curated record. The transcript has 3 exons.
AUAAGUUGCCCCCCUCCCCAGUCCCACAUCUUUGCAAGGUGUUUUGGAGGCUUCAGAGGUCGACUUAUAUGCUGCAAUUUUGCUCCGAAGUUAUCCAUCAAAUCCUGAUCAAAAGAAUGGAUAGGUGAUUCACUUGCUAAGCUCUGUCAGUGCUGGUCUGUUGUUCUUCACAAGGGAGCAUUCACAGCUCUUUCGAUUUUUCUCAUGGUUUGGUCGGUGAACCUAGAGCUAUUCUUGGAUGCAGGUAGGAGGAGGACGACUGCAAUCAGCCCUGCCAAGACAAGUUGGGACCACUCCAUUGCUUUGACGACCUUUUCUCUCACUUUCAACCAGCUAGAUCUUCCCAGGAUAUCCUCCUUGCCACUUACCUGGAAGCUCUUGAGCCACUAGGGGUU